This 824-nucleotide ribosomal RNA is filed under the name Drosophila melanogaster (fruit fly). The record is from RNAcentral. Lineage: Eukaryota; Metazoa; Arthropoda; Insecta; Diptera; Drosophilidae.
UAUGAAAAAGGCAGUGGUUGCCGACCUCUCAUAUUGUUAAAAACGUAUGUGUUCAUAUGAUUUUGGCAAUUAUAUGAGUAAAUUAAAUCAUAUACAUAUGAAAAUUAAUAUUUAUUAUGUGUAUAAGUGAAAAAUGUUGAAAUAUUCCCAUAUUCUCUAAGUAUUAUAGAGAAAAGCCAUUUUAGUGAAUGGAUAUAGUAGUGUAAGCUAGCUGUUCUACGACAGAGGGUUCAAAAACUACUAUAGGUAGGCAGUGGUUGCCGACCUCUCAUAUUGUUCAAAACGUAUGUGUUCAUAUGAUUUUGGCAAUUAUAUGAGUAAAUUAAAUCAUAUACAUAUGAAAAUUAAUAUUUAUUAUGUGUAUAAGUGAAAAAUGUUGAAAUAUUCCCAUAUUCUCUAAGUAUUAUAGAGAAAAGCCAUUUUAGUGAAUGGAUAUAGUACUGUAAGCUAGCUGUUCUACGACAGAGGGUUCAAAAACUACUAUAGGUAGGCAGUGGUUGCCGACCUCUCAUAUUGUUCAAAACGUAUGUGUUCAUAUGAUUUUGGCAAUUAUAUGAGUAAAUUAAAUCAUAUACAUAUGAAAAUGAAUAUUUAUUAUAUGUAUAUAGGGGAAAAAAUAAUCAUAUAAUAUAUAUGAAUAAUGGAAAAUGAAGUGUUCAUAUAUUCUCGUAAUAUAUAAGAGAAUAGCCCGUAUGUUGGGUGGUAAAUGGAAUUGAAAAUACCCGCUUUGAGGACAGCGAGUUCAAAAACUACUAUAGGUAGGCAGUGGUUGCCGACCUCGCAUUGUUCGAAAUAUAUAUUUCGUAUAAUGAUUAUAUUGGUUA